GACGAACGCUGGCGGCGUGCCUAAUACAUGCAAGUCGAGCGGACGAAUCGAAAGCUUGCUUUUGAUUCGUUAGCGGCGGACGGGUGAGUAACACGUGGGCAACCUGCCCUGUAGACGGGGAUAACACCGAGAAAUCGGUGCUAAUACCGGAUAACACGAAAUGUCGCAUGACGUUUCGUUGAAAGACGGCGCAAGCUGUCGCUACAGGAUGGGCCCGCGGCGCAUUAGCUAGUUGGUGAGGUAACGGCUCACCAAGGCGACGAUGCGUAGCCGACCUGAGAGGGUGAUCGGCCACACUGGGACUGAGACACGGCCCAGACUCCUACGGGAGGCAGCAGUAGGGAAUCUUCCGCAAUGGACGAAAGUCUGACGGAACAACGCCGCGUGAGCGAAGAAGGCCUUCGGGUCGUAAAGCUCUGUUGUUAGGGAAGAACAAGUAACGCAGUAACUGGCGUUACCGUGACGGUACCUAACGAGAAAGCCACGGCUAACUACGUG
RNAcentral lists this ribosomal RNA (498 nucleotides) under uncultured bacterium. Its description in RNAcentral is "partial 16S ribosomal RNA". It matches the Rfam family "Bacterial small subunit ribosomal RNA", at positions 28 to 507 of the family's 1533-position model. The record is from RNAcentral.